Molecule: long non-coding RNA, 990 nt
Organism: Sus scrofa (pig)
Lineage: Eukaryota; Metazoa; Chordata; Mammalia; Artiodactyla; Suidae
Source: RefSeq, a predicted model, not a curated record
AAGGCGUCCCCGGGACCGCUUCGGGUGCAGACAGAGGAAAGUGGCGCCGCGUCCCCGCCGCGUCCCGGCCGCGCUCUGGGGAGGAGAGAACAGAAGACUGAGGGGCGGCCUUGUCCUCUCUGCCUGGGUGAUAAGCGCAGGCACCUCUGCCCUGCCCUCCUGCUGCAAGGACCGUUUCCGUCCAGUUCCCAUCCAGUCUGCGGUCUCACCGGCUUCCCAUGCCGGCAGAUGUGAGCGCAAAACUCCGUCGGGUAGUUUCAAUUGACACAGAACAGACACACCCUGUACCUGAAUGACUCAGAAGGAGGCUGAAAGAAUAAACAACUGGCUUCUGGGAUCUUAUGACUUUGCAAAGGGGAAAAAAAAAAAAAAUCAAAUGACAGUUAGUACACACUUGUCCCAAAAGACAUCAUCAACGGUCUUGCAGCCAGCACACACCCACCGCAAAUUUGACAACAGUCUGUGCCGACCGUGUAGAAAUUAAAAUAACGGUCCUCUAGACUCUAGAAGCAACUCUGGGUCUGAGGCCGUAUUUCACUUCAAAGGGAAGAUAUCCUGUCUACUCAGCACAACAUGCUGGAUGAAGCUGGCACCCUUCACCCCAUCCAUUAAUUUAAAGGGAAAGGAACUAAAGUAAAUUGCACAACCCAGACUGUAUCAGACAUGUGAUAAACUAUGGAAUUCAACACGACUACUCUGUGAAGCAAGCAUUGUUGGCCAUUUUGUGGAUGAAGGAAAAUUCAGACAGUUUAAAUCCACAGCUAGUGAUUGGCUGAGCUAGGUUCCAAAAUGUAUGUGUGUACGAAUUUACAUAUUUAUUCAUUUUGCAUUUCAGGGCUGCACCCAUGGCAUAUGGAAGUUCCCAGGCUAGGGGUCGAAUUGGAGCUAUAGCUGUCACAGAAACUCAGGACCCAGGUUUCAACUGCAACCUACACCGAAGCUCACAGCAACUUCAGAUAGUUAACCCACUGAGCAAGGCCAGGGAUCAAA